CUCUGCUCAUGGUUCAAUGAUUCAUGGAUCCCAUGUGCAAGAUAUCUAUUUACUUUCAAGAUUUAAAAUCUACUGCUGACAACAUAGAUUAUGUGCACGCUCGAGGGUUGAAGCUUGAUAUUUACAGUGAUGCUGGGCUUCUUCAGUUAAACAAGGUACAACCCAGUCUGCAUAUCCUUUUGUUUAUUGAGCUAUCUUUGCCCA
Lolium rigidum is the source of this 204-nucleotide long non-coding RNA. RefSeq lists it as uncharacterized. The transcript has 3 exons. The record is from RefSeq and is a predicted model, not a curated record. NCBI's taxonomy places the organism in Eukaryota, Viridiplantae, Streptophyta, Magnoliopsida, Poales, Poaceae.